This 871-nucleotide long non-coding RNA is filed under the name Zonotrichia albicollis (white-throated sparrow). RNAcentral describes it as "lncRNA (ENSZALG00000002060.1)". Lineage: Eukaryota; Metazoa; Chordata; Aves; Passeriformes; Passerellidae. The record is from RNAcentral.
GGGAUGGAACCCAGGGCUGGAACCCAGAGCCAGAACGGAUCCCAGAGCUGGAACCCGGAGCUGGAACCCAGGGCUGGAUCCCAGAGAUGGAAUGGAUCCCAGAUUCCAGAGCCAGAAUGGAACCCAGAGCUGGAUCCCAGAGCCAGAAUGGAUCCCAGAGCUGGAACCCGGAGCUGGAACCCAGAGCCAGAUUGGAUCCCAGAGCCAGAACGGAUCCCAGAGCUGGAACCCAGAGCCAGAAUGGAUCCCAGAUUCCAGAGCCAGAUCCAAGACCCAGAUCCCAGAUGCCAGAGCCAGGAUGGAACCCAGGGCUGGAACCCAGAGCUGGAACCCAGAGCCAGAUCCAGGACCCAGAUCCCAGAUCCCAGAGCCAGAAUGGAUCCCAGAGCUGGAACCCGGAGCUGGAAUGGAUCCCAGAGCCAGAAUGGAUCCCAGAUCCCAGAGCUGGAUCCCAGACUCCAGAGCCAGAUCCAAGACCCAGAUCCCAGAUGCCAGAGCCAGAAUGGAACCCAGAGCUGGAACCCAGAGCUGGAACGGAUCCCAGAGCUGGAUCCCAGAGCUGGAUCCCAGAGCCAGAACAGAUCCCAGAUCCCAGAGCUGGAUCCCAGAUUCCAGAGCCGGAUCCAAGACCCAGAUCCCAGAUUCCAGAGCCAGAAUGGAACCCAGAGCUGGAACCCAAAGCUGGAACCCAGAGCCAGAUCCAAGACCCAGAUCCUGGAUCUCAGAGCCAGAAUGGAUCCCAGAGCUGGAACCCAAAGCUGGAACCCAGAGCCAGAUCCAAGACCCAGAUCCUGGAUCUCAGAGCCAGAAUGGAUCCCAGAGCUGGAACCCAGAGCCAGAAUGGAUCCCAGAGCUGGAUCCCAGAUCCCAG